UGGGGUAUAGCUCAGCAGUAGAGUGCAUGCCUAGCAUGUAUGAGUUCCUGGGUUCAAUCCUCAGUACCUCCA
This 72-nucleotide transfer RNA is filed under the name Camelus bactrianus (Bactrian camel). It matches the Rfam family "tRNA". Rfam says of the family: Transfer RNA (tRNA) molecules are approximately 80 nucleotides in length. The record is from Rfam by way of RNAcentral. RNAcentral also lists the same sequence under 2 other names. Lineage: Eukaryota; Metazoa; Chordata; Mammalia; Artiodactyla; Camelidae.